CUGCCCAGGUGGGAGCCUCUGCCUGGAGCAGAGACCUUGGCGCAGGGGAGCGGCUCCCUUUGGCAGAAGCUGCACAACUGCGGGGCGGCCAGUCUGAGAACCCUCGGGACCCGGUCCUGCCGGGCUAAUGAACAGCGCCCCUGAUGCGCAGCUCAGGGAGACCAGGAAGCUCGGAUAUGUUUGGGGAAGAUGAAGAAAGAACAUUCCCGAGAUAAAGCCUGUUUAUCGUGUUACAGAGGACACGGUGUUGUAAUAAGGCCACUGUGGAGCUACCACAAAAGUUCAGGCCCAGAGGUGAUCUUUUUUCGAAAGGCCGAGCCCUGAGCCAUCGGCAACAGAGCACCCAUCGCCCCAACAGGGGCACAUUCGCACUUAAAAGCAAGCAGGAGGUAGAGAAGCAGGAGACGUCCCAGAGCUCACCUGGUCAUCUGGGGCGCACAGUUCUCCAGAAAUGGAAGUUGGGGCCAUCCCCACAUAUGCACGGUCCAUGACAGAAACUUGUUAAGAGGUGCUGGGAUCUGGACCUUGACCUGGCACUAUUACCUGAGCGUUCUGAAAGGAUAACUCACAAAACUAGAGCCGUAGAUAUCAUCUACAAGGCUUUCCAUGAAAACCAGCAUCAGGAACAUCAUCAGCACACUCCACCUCUAGACCAGACAGAGAGAGAUUGGAGAAAGAUGAAAAUUUCAAUAGAAAGCAGUCUAAUAAAUCCAGAACAGAUGAAAAUUAUAAGGAAAAGACAGCCAAGAUCACCAAUUUUCUGGAGCACAAGGACCACAGGGAAAGCUUUGGGUAUGGGGACCAGGCAGGAGUCGUGCAUAUCGCUGGAGCGCCAGGCAAGAAACCCCAGCUCCAGACAUGCAAAUGACCCUUACUUUCCUUUUACUUUGUGAAAUGAAAGUGUUUAUUAUUGUAAAAUAAUCUCCUUUGAACUCACUGAGUAUUUCUACUGGGAGAAAAAGAUGAAGAGAAUAGGUCGGGGGCUACCAGCAAACACUUCCAUUUUAAGGACAUUUCAGUGACUCAUCCAGGGCUGCUACCGUCUAAGGCCAAAUGUGGCAUUUACUCUAUGAAGCUAAUGCAUGUCCUGAAUGUUUGCUUGGGGCAUUAUUUCAUUUCCCUGGAAGUUCCUUUAAGAUUCAGAAUAUAGAAUAUUAUUCAUUGUAUGCAAAAAUAUAAUGGGUCUUUAUAAUGUAGUAAAUAAAAAUGAUAUUUUAGGAUAUCAUCACUGUGAAUGUUACUAUGAGAUU
This is a long non-coding RNA of Talpa occidentalis (Iberian mole), 1250 nucleotides long. RefSeq lists it as uncharacterized. The transcript is spliced from 5 exons. Lineage: Eukaryota; Metazoa; Chordata; Mammalia; Eulipotyphla; Talpidae. The record is from RefSeq and is a predicted model, not a curated record.